AUUUCCUUUAAAUUUAAAGAAUUUGGCGGUAAUUUAGUCUAGUCAGAGGAACCUGUUCAUUAAUCGAUAAACCUCGCAAUAUCUUACUUAUUUUAAAAUAUAUUAGUUUGUAUACCAUCAUUAUCAGAUAAUUUUAUAAGAGAAUUAAAUUAUUAAAAUUAACAUUGUUACAUAAAUUAGAUCAAGGUGCAGCUUAUAAAUAAGUUAGAAUGGGUUACAAUAAAAAUUUAUUUAAACGGAUUAAUUUUUGUAAAGGAGUAUAAAGGAGGAUUUGAUUGUAAUAUAAAUUUAAUAAGUUUAUAAGAUACAAGCCCUAAAUUAUGUACACAUC
RNAcentral lists this ribosomal RNA (331 nucleotides) under Hydrothelphusa vencesi. RNAcentral describes it as "partial 12S ribosomal RNA". The record is from RNAcentral. Lineage: Eukaryota; Metazoa; Arthropoda; Malacostraca; Decapoda; Deckeniidae.